RNAcentral lists this ribosomal RNA (529 nucleotides) under Agrobacterium sp. EP_R_14. RNAcentral describes it as "bacterial SSU rRNA". It matches the Rfam family "Bacterial small subunit ribosomal RNA", at positions 52 to 629 of the family's 1533-position model. Lineage: Bacteria; Pseudomonadati; Pseudomonadota; Alphaproteobacteria; Hyphomicrobiales; Rhizobiaceae. The record is from RNAcentral.
CACAUGCAAGUCGAACGCCCCGCAAGGGGAGUGGCAGACGGGUGAGUAACGCGUGGGAACAUACCCUUUCCUGCGGAAUAGCUCCGGGAAACUGGAAUUAAUACCGCAUACGCCCUACGGGGGAAAGAUUUAUCGGGGAAGGAUUGGCCCGCGUUGGAUUAGCUAGUUGGUGGGGUAAAGGCCUACCAAGGCGACGAUCCAUAGCUGGUCUGAGAGGAUGAUCAGCCACAUUGGGACUGAGACACGGCCCAAACUCCUACGGGAGGCAGCAGUGGGGAAUAUUGGACAAUGGGCGCAAGCCUGAUCCAGCCAUGCCGCGUGAGUGAUGAAGGCCUUAGGGUUGUAAAGCUCUUUCACCGGAGAAGAUAAUGACGGUAUCCGGAGAAGAAGCCCCGGCUAACUUCGUGCCAGCAGCCGCGGUAAUACGAAGGGGGCUAGCGUUGUUCGGAAUUACUGGGCGUAAAGCGCACGUAGGCGGAUAUUUAAGUCAGGGGUGAAAUCCCAUAGCUCAACUCUGGAACUGCCUUUG